UACGGGGGGGGCAAGCGUUGUUCGGAAUUACUGGGCGUAAAGGGCUCGUAGGCGGCCAACUAAGUCGGAUGUGAAAUCCCCAAGCUUAACUUGGGAACUGCAUCCGAUACUGGAUGGCUUGAAUCCGGGAGAGGGAUGCAGAAUUCCAGGUGUAGCGGUGAAAUGCGUAGAUAUCUGGAGGAACACCGGUGGCGAAGGCGGCAUUCUGGACCAUUACUGACGCUGAGGAGCGAAAGCCAGGGGAGCAAACGGG
Molecule: ribosomal RNA, 253 nt
Filed under: uncultured bacterium
Lineage: Bacteria
Description: partial 16S ribosomal RNA
Rfam family: Bacterial small subunit ribosomal RNA
Source: RNAcentral